RNAcentral lists this ribosomal RNA (620 nucleotides) under uncultured delta proteobacterium. Its description in RNAcentral is "bacterial SSU rRNA". It matches the Rfam family "Bacterial small subunit ribosomal RNA", at positions 260 to 872 of the family's 1533-position model. Lineage: Bacteria; Deltaproteobacteria. The record is from RNAcentral.
AUGGCCCACCAAGCCUAAGACGGGUAGCUGGUCUGAGAGGAUGGUCAGCCACACUGGAACUGAGACACGGUCCAGACUCCUACGGGAGGCAGCAGUGGGGAAUCUUGCGCAAUGGGCGAAAGCCUGACGCAGCGACGCCGCGUGGGUGAUGAAGGCCUUCGGGUUGUAAAGCCCUGUGGGGAGGGAAGAAUAAGUCGUGGCUAAUAUCCACGAUGAUGACGGUACCUCCUUAGCAAGCACCGGCUAACUCUGUGCCAGCAGCCGCGGUAAGACAGAGGGUGCGAACGUUGUUCGGAAUUACUGGGCGUAAAGCGCGUGUAGGCGGCUUGGUAAGUCAGGUGUGAAAGCCCUCGGCUCAACCGGGGAAGUGCAUUUGAAACUGCCGAGCUGGAGUCCCGGAGAGGAUGGUGGAAUUCUCGGUGUAGAGGUGAAAUUCGUAGAUAUCGAGAGGAACACCGGUGGCGAAGGCGGCCAUCUGGACGGUGACUGACGCUGAGACGCGAAAGCGUGGGGAGCAAACAGGAUUAGAUACCCUGGUAGUCCACGCCGUAAACGAUGGGUGCUAGGUGUCGCGGGCUUUGACCCCUGCGGUGCCGAAGCUAACGCAUUAAGCACCCCGC